AGACGUCUACAUUAGAUACCCGUGUAGUCCCAGCCGUAAACUAUGCGCGUUAGGUGUAUCGGUGACCACGAGUCACCGGGGUGCCGAAGGGAAACCGUGAAACGUGCCGCCUGGGAAGUACGGUCGCAAGGCUGAAACUUAAAGGAAUUGGCGGGGAGCACCACAACGGGUGGAGCCUGCGGUUUAAUUGGACUCAACGCCGGGAAGCUCACCGGAUAAGACAGCGGAAUGAUUGCCGGGCUGAAGACUCUGCAUGACUAGCUG
RNAcentral lists this ribosomal RNA (264 nucleotides) under uncultured archaeon. Its description in RNAcentral is "partial 16S ribosomal RNA". It matches the Rfam family "Archaeal small subunit ribosomal RNA", at positions 717 to 982 of the family's 1478-position model. The record is from RNAcentral.